GUAGGGAAUAUUGGUCAAUGGACGAAAGUCUGAACCAGCCAUUCCGCGUGCAGGAAGAAGAUUCUAUGGAUUGUAAACUGCUUUUAGCAGAGAAGAAACGCCUUCAUUGAUGAGGGUUUGACGGUAUCUGCGGAAUAAGCACCGGCUAACUCCGUGCCAGCAGCCGCGGUAAUACGGGUGGUGCAAGCGUUAUCCGGAAUCACUGGGUUUAAAGGGUGCGUAGGCGGGAAAUUAAGUCAGUGGUGAAAGUCUGUUGCUUAACGAUAGAAUUGCCGUUGAUACUGAUUUUCUUGAAUUGGGUUGAGGUUAGCGGAAUGUGACAUGUAGCGGUGAAAUGCAUAGAUAUGUCAUGGAACACCAAUUGCGAAGGCAGCUAGCUGGGCCUUGAUUGACGCUGAGGCACGAAAGCGUGGGUAGCGAACAGGAUUAGAUACCCCGGUAGUCC
RNAcentral lists this ribosomal RNA (445 nucleotides) under uncultured bacterium. RNAcentral's name for it is "partial 16S ribosomal RNA". It matches the Rfam family "Bacterial small subunit ribosomal RNA", at positions 354 to 796 of the family's 1533-position model. The record is from RNAcentral.